CCAGUUGUUCACAAGAAACCAAUGGUCACUCUUCAAUAAGGAAAUCGGAUUUGUUUUGGAAGCUACACUGCCUGUUGUCAAAGGAUUAAGUCACAAGGUGCCCUGUUUGUGUUUAUCAGGAAUACACCACUGUAUUUUUCAGCUUUCUGCAGAGCCCUGAUCAGCAAAACAUCAAUUUCCUUUUUCGUUGAAGUCCAUAUCAAUACUACCAUGAUCCUGGAGAAGACCCUGGGAGCAUUUGUCAGAUCAAGUGUGUCUGGAAAGAGCCAGGGUUGUAAAUCUACUUUUCCAGUGAUUCCAUGAAUAACCUCAGCC
Molecule: long non-coding RNA, 315 nt
Organism: Mauremys reevesii (Reeves's turtle)
Lineage: Eukaryota; Metazoa; Chordata; Testudines; Geoemydidae
Exons: 3
Source: RefSeq, a predicted model, not a curated record